This is a long non-coding RNA of Carassius gibelio (silver crucian carp), 615 nucleotides long. RefSeq lists it as uncharacterized. The transcript is spliced from 2 exons. The record is from RefSeq and is a predicted model, not a curated record. NCBI's taxonomy places the organism in Eukaryota, Metazoa, Chordata, Actinopteri, Cypriniformes, Cyprinidae.
CUUGAUCUUCCUGCGUCGUACGCGCCACUGAUCCAAAGUCCCCAUCAUCCUCUUCAUCUACUUCAUCUGCAUCCUUAUCUGCACCUUCACUUUCCGAUGCAGGCCCGAAAUGUGUCUGGAGCUCUAGAAGAGAGACAGGAAUGGAUCCUUGAGCAGGUCCCCGGCCAUCGCUCGUUUACUUGGGUCAGGCUCAAAGCAGGAAAGGAUGAAGGAUUUGGCCUCUGACGAAAGAGACUCUGGGAUCUCCGGAUGGAUCUUAAACAUGCCCACCUGGUACAAAGACAACAGAGACCAAUGGAGGAGAUGAUUUUGAUUAAUAGUCUAUCAAAAAUAUGAAAAAUACAAUAUUUUACAAGUAAUCAAAAACCAUUGAAUCUGUAUUUUAAAAACAUACUGUGAUGUUCAUAUUAAUAAUAUGUAAUUUUUAUUAAUACAGUUUUGUUAUUCUCUUGGUUGAUUAUCUUCUGUAUUUGCAUAAAAUAUAAAUCUUCUGAAAAAAAAAAACUAGAUUAUAAAGCAAAAUUAUCUACAUGAGCUCAUGAGUCAACUACAUAUUCUUAUGUAAAGACCUAAAUAAAAAGAUAACAUUUAUUAAAUUGAUUAUAUCACUUUUUU